GAUGAACGCUGGCGGCGUGCCUAAUACAUGCAAGUCGAGCGAACGGACGAGAAGCUUGCUUCUCUGAUGUUAGCGGCGGACGGGUGAGUAACACGUGGAUAACCUACCUAUAAGACUGGGAUAACUUCGGGAAACCGGAGCUAAUACCGGAUAAUAUUUUGAACCGCAUGGUUCAAAAGUGAAAGACGGUCUUGCUGUCACUUAUAGAUGGAUCCGCGCUGCAUUAGCUAGUUGGUAAGGUAACGGCUUACCAAGGCAACGAUGCAUAGCCGACCUGAGAGGGUGAUCGGCCACACUGGAACUGAGACACGGUCCAGACUCCUACGGGAGGCAGCAGUAGGGAAUCUUCCGCAAUGGGCGAAAGCCUGACGGAGCAACGCCGCGUGAGUGAUGAAGGUCUUCGGAUCGUAAAACUCUGUUAUUAGGGAAGAACAUAUGUGUAAGUAACUGUGCACAUCUUGACGGUACCGAAGCAGAAAGCCACGGCUAACUACGU
RNAcentral lists this ribosomal RNA (496 nucleotides) under uncultured bacterium. Its description in RNAcentral is "partial 16S ribosomal RNA". It matches the Rfam family "Bacterial small subunit ribosomal RNA", at positions 28 to 506 of the family's 1533-position model. The record is from RNAcentral.